UGAAUACGAGACGCUAAGGCGUCGAAGUAGUGUAUGUCAUACUUCCAAGAAAAGCUUGCACUGUCAUAGAUAAAAAACGCCUGUACCAUAACCGACACAGGUGGGUAGGUAGAGUAUACUAAGGGGCGCGAGAUAACUCUCUCUAAGGAACUCGGCAAAAUAACUCCGUAACUUCGGGAGAAGGAGUGCCUUAUUCGUAAGGUUGCAAUAACAAGAUCCAAGCAACUGUUUAUCAAAAACACAGGUCUCCGCUAAGUCGUAAGACGAUGUAUGGGGGCUGACGCCUGCCCAGUGCCAGAAGGUUAAAGAAGUUGGUUAGCAAUUGCGAAGCUGACAACUGAAGCCCUGGUGAACGGCGGCCGUAACAAUAACGGUCCUAAGGUAGCGAAAUUCCUUGUCGGGUAAGUUCCGACCCGCACGAAAGGCGUAAUGAUUUGGAUACUGUCUCGGAGAGGGGCUCGGUGAAAUAGACUUGUCUGUGAAGAUGCGGACUACCUGCACCAGGACAGAAAGACCCUAUGAAGCUUUACUGUAACUUGAAAUUGAAAUUGGACUUUAUUCGCGCAGUAUAGGUGGGAGGCGUUGAUUAUAAUCUUGUGGGAUUAUUGGAGCCAUCAGUGAGAUACCACUCUUGUAAUGUUAGAUUUCUAACUUUGAAUCAUUAUCUGGUCAAAGAACAGUUUCAGGCGGGCAGUUUGACUGGGGCGGUCGCCUCCUAAACGGUAACGGAGGCGUACAAAGGUUUCCUCUGAACGGUUAGAAAUCGUAUCUAGAGUGUAAAGGCAUAAGGAAGCUUGACUGUGAGACCUACAAGUCGAGCAGGGACGAAAGUCGGUCUUAGUGAUCUGACGGUACUGAGUGGAAAGGCCGUCACUCAACGGAUAAAAGUUACUCUAGGGAUAACAUGCUGAUCUCCCCCAAGAGUUCACAUCGACGGGGAGGUUUGGCACCUCGAUGUCGGCUCAUCGCAUCCUGGGGCGGUAGUACGUCCCAAGGGUUGGGCUGUUCGCCCAUGAAAGCGGUACGCGAGCUGGGUUCAGAACGUCGUGAGACAGUUCGGUCCAUAUCCGGUGUAGGCGUUAGAAUAUUGAGAGGAGCCUUCUUUAGUACGAGAGGACCGAGAAGGACAUACCUCUGGUGUACCAGUUAUCGUGCCAACGGUAAACGCUGGGUAGCUAUGUAUGGAGUGGAUAACCGCUGAAAGCAUCUAAGUGGGAAGCCCACCUCAAGAUAAGUAUUCCC
RNAcentral lists this ribosomal RNA (1242 nucleotides) under metagenome. RNAcentral describes it as "bacterial LSU rRNA". It matches the Rfam family "Bacterial large subunit ribosomal RNA", at positions 1564 to 2815 of the family's 2925-position model. The record is from RNAcentral.